RNAcentral lists this ribosomal RNA (253 nucleotides) under uncultured bacterium. RNAcentral describes it as "partial 16S ribosomal RNA". It matches the Rfam family "Bacterial small subunit ribosomal RNA", at positions 524 to 776 of the family's 1533-position model. The record is from RNAcentral.
UACGUAGGGGGCGAGCGUUGUUCGGAAUCACUGGGCGUAAAGCGUGCGUAGGCGGUUAUGAAAGUUAGGAGUGAAAGCCCAGGGCUUAACCUUAGAAUUGCUUUUAAAACUACAUAACUCGAAUCUCGGAGAGGAUAGCGGAAUUGUCAGUGUAGCAGUGAAAUGCGUAGAUAUUGACAGGAACACCAGUGGCGUAAGCGGCUAUCUGGACGAGUAUUGACGCUGAGGCACGAAAGCGUGGGGAUCAAACAGG